This 1915-nucleotide small RNA is filed under the name Arabidopsis thaliana (thale cress). Its description in RNAcentral is "ATSL200350". The record is from RNAcentral. Lineage: Eukaryota; Viridiplantae; Streptophyta; Magnoliopsida; Brassicales; Brassicaceae.
UAUCGAAAUCAUCAAGGUGGUCGAGUGGAUCCUCCAUUGGCAAACCAUGGAAUUUGUUCCCCUGAAUCAUCGAGAUGAGACCACUCUUAAUCUCGAAGUUGUUGUUCUGGAUAGCAGCAGGUGCAAUUCCCUUCCUCUAACGGUGAUCACGUGGUGCAUCUCCAGCACCAAUGUUGGAAGGGCCGUUUUGUUGAUUCUGUUCUUCAGCCAUAUCGAGUGGUUGCUGAGGUACAGGGUUGACUGUGGUUCUCCUUUUUCUAAGUUUGCGGGCUGUGCGGUUGAUGUUGUCAUUGAAAAGGAGGUUCUGGUUGCCUGUUGAUCGAGUUCGCAUACAGCAGAGGUGUACCUGGAUCAAGAAGACAACAAGAAAAACACACAGUUAGUAAUUGAAAAGAAAAUUGAAAAAGAACUUGAUCUAAGCAAGUCUGAAAUCUCAAAUGUAACAAACAAACACCCAAUUGGCAACGGCGCCAAAUUGAUAAUAAGUUUUUAGUCAGUUAUCCUAAAACACCAAUCAUGUCGUUGUAGUAUUUUAGGUUGUCAAUCCAAAUGGGUGUGAUGCUAACAAUCAAGAUGUGAUCAGAAGUCACUAAGUCAAGCCAAGCAAUAACAGGUUUUGGUGCGUUCAAACAGUCCUAAGUGAACAUGCAGAAAACAGAAAAUCAAGCAGAAACAAAUAAACACUCGACCAACACAGCUCUUUGCAGAGCACUGGGUGUGGUCGAGUGAUAGGUCGAGUAACAGACAGAUAAUGUAACAGCGAUACUCGACUGCAUAGUCUGUUGCCAGACAACUGGGUGGUCGAGUAUGAGGUCGAGUAACAGUAAAGAAUUGGAGAAACUAAGCAACAGAUGACAGGAUGUAGUACACAACAGUAGAGUAAACAAUAAAAUCAAUCAGAUAAAGAAUUCCUAAGGAUGGGGUAAUUGAGUAGUUUUGUUUCCUCAAUUUACAGGUGAUUGACAUGCUCAAUAAAUUAACCCUAGACAACAAGUUCAUCAACCAAAUCUAAGUGCCACCGCAACAGAGACUCUCAAGCUAACCUAGUCCCAGACUCAAUCACCAUUGACGAGAGCUAACCUAACAAGCAUUACGAAUCAACAAGUUAAAGCCAAAAUGCUCCCUGCAACCAAUACCUUGGUACAGGGUCACGAAUCUCUGGAAUUAGUGGUUCAAACAUUUCAUCGAACACCUUUUGGGCGCGGAAAUGUCUGGACUCAAAUUCCAGUUGAUCAGAAAGCAAUAGGCAUUAAGAACAACUAAUCCAGAAGGGAUCUAUCAACCAAUACUCAAUCACCUAGCAUACUGAGAAUUCUACACUACUCUAACCCAUCCUCAGAAACCUAUUCACUACUCAGACAUCAUAAUAGAAAGCAUAAACGUUGAACAAAUUGAAAACAUGAUAACAAUAAUGUAACAGCAGGAUGAUAACAGAAUGAACAACAGUAAACGAAAUCAAGAACAGAAACUGAAUACUGAAUACUGAAUAGAUAAAGAGAAAUCCGGAUUACAAAAAGUCUAGAACACAAGGUCUGCGGAAAUAGAAUUAGAUAAAAAACUUCUUGUCUGCGAAAAUGAGAAGUACAUGCUACUUAUAGCUAAAUAUCCCGAAAACCCUAAUACUCAAAACGAUGAAGUAUUUGGACGGGUUAAGAACAGUACUCGACCCACGUGGUCGAGUGAAUAGCUGGAGUCUUCUUAUCUUCCUUGUGCUCGUGUGUCUGGUUGAGUGCGGAAUGAAGAAGGCUCUGAAGCUUGUCAUCGAGUAUGCAGUCGAGUGGUGUCAAAAGAUACUCGACUUCCAGGUUGAGUGACGAGGUCGAGUGGUGGUCUGAUGAUGGAGGUGAAGACACUCGACCUCAUGGUCGAGUAAAGUGAUCGAGUGAUGGUCUGGUGAUGGAGAUGAGGGCACUAG